AUUUAAAUAGCUUAUAAAAUAGAGUAUAAUAUUGAAGAUAUUAAGGAAGAUAUUUAUCUUUUAAAUA
Molecule: transfer RNA, 67 nt
Filed under: Kisaura zhejiangensis (nom. nud.)
Lineage: Eukaryota; Metazoa; Arthropoda; Insecta; Trichoptera; Philopotamidae
Description: tRNA-Phe
Source: RNAcentral